RNAcentral lists this unclassified non-coding RNA (342 nucleotides) under Hevea brasiliensis (rubber tree). Lineage: Eukaryota; Viridiplantae; Streptophyta; Magnoliopsida; Malpighiales; Euphorbiaceae. The record is from RNAcentral.
AUGCAACAUCAAUUCUUAUCAGCUGCCUGUGUUAUUAGACAUAACAAUCUCUUUUCUCUAAAUGGGUAAGUUACCUGGAUAUAAAUGAUAAGAGUUCCAGAACAAUUGUCAGUUAUGUUAAAGAAAAAAGAAAUCAUGAGAUGCAAUUCUAGAAUGACUUCAUAUUUUCAUAAAUAUAUCAGGAAUUAAAUCACCAAUUUAUUAUUGCAUUCAAGGGGUAAAUUUAAGGGAGCUUACAUCAGACAUUGUACAUACUCAAGACCUGUUAAAGAACAUCAAUUAAAAAGAAAACAAGUAAUCAUGAAAGAGAAGACCAGACCUGUCCGUCAGCAGCAGCAGCAU